Molecule: ribosomal RNA, 468 nt
Filed under: uncultured bacterium
Lineage: Bacteria
Description: partial 16S ribosomal RNA
Rfam family: Bacterial small subunit ribosomal RNA
Source: RNAcentral
GACGAACGCUGGCGGCGUGCUUAACACAUGCCAGUCGAACGGAAAGGCCCUGCUUUUGUGGGGUGCUCGAGUGGCGAACGGGUGAGUAACACGUGAGUAACCUGCCCUUGACUUUGGGAUAACUUCAGGAAACUGGGGCUAAUACCGGAUAGGAGCUCCUGCUGCAUGGUGGGGGUUGGAAAGUUUCGGCGGUUGGGGAUGGAUUCGCGGCUUAUCAGCUUGUUGGUGGGGUAGUGGCUUACCAAGGCUUUGACGGGUAGCCGGCCUGAGAGGGUGACCGGCCACAUUGGGACUGAGAUAGGGCCCAGACUCCUACGGGAGGCAGCAGUGGGGAAUAUUGCACAAUGGGCGGAAGCCUGAUGCAGCAACGCCGCGUGCGGGAUGACGGCCUUCGGGUUGUAAACCGCUUUCGCCUGUGACGAAGCGUGAGUGACGGUAAUGGGUAAAGAAGCACCGGCUAACUACGUG